GGAAUCUUGCACAAUGGACGAAAGUCUGAUGCAGCAAUUUCGCGUGAAGGAUGAAGCAUUACGGUGUGUAAACUUCUUUUUUGGCAGAAGACGAAUGACGGUAUGUCAAGAAUAAGAGACGGCUAACUACGUGCCAGCAGCCGCGGUAAUACGUAGGUCUCAAGCGUUAUCCGGAUUUACUGGGCGUAAAGUGUCCGUAAUCUGAAUUAUAAGUCUGUCUUCAAAGACCACGACUCAAUCGUGGGAAGGGGGUGGAUACUGUAAUUCUGGAAGUAUCUGGGGGUUAGUGGAAUUUCCGGUGGAGCGGUGAAAUGCGUUGAUAUCGGAAGGAACGCCGAAAGCGAAAGCAGCUAACUACAGAAUACUUGACGAUGAGGGACGACAGUUCGGGUAGCAAACA
RNAcentral lists this ribosomal RNA (400 nucleotides) under uncultured candidate division SR1 bacterium. RNAcentral's name for it is "bacterial SSU rRNA". It matches the Rfam family "Bacterial small subunit ribosomal RNA", at positions 358 to 774 of the family's 1533-position model. Lineage: Bacteria; Candidatus Absconditibacteriota. The record is from RNAcentral.